This 264-nucleotide long non-coding RNA is filed under the name Gallus gallus (chicken). Lineage: Eukaryota; Metazoa; Chordata; Aves; Galliformes; Phasianidae. The record is from RNAcentral.
AUGGACGGACGGACGGACAUCACUGGGAUGGAUGGGCAGACGGACAGCAUUGGGAUGGACGGACAGCACUGUGACGGACAGACAGACGGACACCAUUGGGAUGGAUGGAUGGACGGCACUGCAAUGGAUGGACGGACAGACAUCAUUGGGAUGAAUGGACGUCAUUGGGAUGGACGGACGGACGGACACCAUUGGGAUGGACGGACAGCAAGCACUGCAAUGGACGGACAGACGGACACCAUUGGGAUGGAUGGAUGUCAUUGG